AAAAGGAACGCCCACAGAACUGGCAGGUCCAACCUGGCGCAUCCUGACCCACAGGAUCUGCGCCGGCGGAACCCCGCACAGUCGGGUUAUCGCCUG
Molecule: non-coding RNA, 96 nt
Organism: Bombyx mori (domestic silkworm)
Lineage: Eukaryota; Metazoa; Arthropoda; Insecta; Lepidoptera; Bombycidae
Source: RefSeq, marked provisional